This 124-nucleotide small RNA is filed under the name Robbsia andropogonis. RNAcentral describes it as "Burkholderia andropogonis Guanidine-I sequence". It matches the Rfam family "Guanidine-I riboswitch aptamer". Rfam says of the family: This family represents a conserved RNA structure found upstream of the ykkC and yxkD genes in Bacillus subtilis and related genes in other bacteria. The function of this family is unclear although it has been suggested that it may function to switch on efflux pumps and detoxification systems in response to harmful environmental molecules. The record is from Rfam by way of RNAcentral. Lineage: Bacteria; Pseudomonadati; Pseudomonadota; Betaproteobacteria; Burkholderiales; Burkholderiaceae.
GCAAUGGACGACUAGGGUUCCGAUUUCCGUGAUGGCCGCCAUGGCUUACACGUCACGCGAAAUGCUGGUCCAAGAGUUGUCGACCUCUGGCGAGGUUACACGGCGGGAUAAAAGCCCGGGAGAG